UACACUCCUGCGGGAGGCAGCAGUGGGGAAUUUUGGACAAUGGGCGAAAGCCUGAUCCAGCCAUGCCGCGUGCAGGAUGAAGGCCUUCGGGUUGUAAACUGCUUUUGUACGGAACGAAACGGCCUUUUCUAAUAAAGAGGGCUAAUGACGGUACCGUAAGAAUAAGCACCGGCUAACUACGUGCCAGCAGCCGCGGUAAUACGUAGGGUGCAAGCGUUAAUCGGAAUUACUGGGCGUAAAGCGUGCGCAGGCGGUUAUGUAAGACAGUUGUGAAAUCCCCGGGCUCAACCUGGGAACUGCAUCUGUGACUGCAUAGCUAGAGUACGGUAGAGGGGGAUGGAAUUCCGCGUGUAGCAGUGAAAUGCGUAAAUAUGCGGAGGAACACCGAUGGCGAAGGCAAUCCCCUGGACCUCUACUGACGCUCAUGCACGAAAGCGUGGGGAGCAAACAGGAUUAGAUACCCCAGUAGUCCCAUG
Molecule: ribosomal RNA, 476 nt
Filed under: uncultured organism
Description: partial 16S ribosomal RNA
Rfam family: Bacterial small subunit ribosomal RNA
Source: RNAcentral